RNAcentral lists this ribosomal RNA (461 nucleotides) under uncultured Bacillus sp. Its description in RNAcentral is "bacterial SSU rRNA". It matches the Rfam family "Bacterial small subunit ribosomal RNA", at positions 1045 to 1498 of the family's 1533-position model. The record is from RNAcentral. Lineage: Bacteria; Bacillati; Bacillota; Bacilli; Caryophanales; Bacillaceae.
AUGCUUAUCUUUAUGUCCAUUCGUCGAGAUGUCGAUCUAAGUCCAGCAGAGAGGCGCAACCCUUAUCGCACGCUCUCCCUCCGGCCCAUUCCGGCCGCUCUGCGUCACUCCCCUCGGAUAUCGUGGAGGUAGGUGGGGACGACAGUCAAGUCCUCACGGCCUUUAUGUGAGGGGAUACUCAUGUGCUACAAUGCGCGGUACAACGCGUCGCAUACCCGGCGAGGGGGAGCUAAUCGCAAAAAGCCGUGCUCAGUUUGGAUUGGAGUCUGCAACCCGACUCCAUGAAGCUGGAAUCGCUAGUAAUCGCAGAUCAGAACGCUGCGGUGAAUACGUUCCCGGGCCUUGUACACACCGCCCGUCACAUCACGAGAGUUUGUAACACCCGAAGUCGGUGGGGUAACCUUUUUGGAGCCAGCCGCUUAAGGUGGGACAGAUGAUUGGGGUGAAGUCGUAACAAGGUA